GGCUGGGGUUGGUUGUUAGUGUUCUCACGGGCCGUGUUAGGGCACGACACCGGGAAAGGGAGCCUGAGAAACGGCUAUACAUAAAAAGGAUGGCAGCAGGCGCGCAAAUUACCCAAUCCCCACACGGGGAGGUAGUGACAAUAAAUAACAAUACGGGGUUCUUUCGGAUUUCGUAAUUGGAAUGAGUACAAUUUAAAUCUCUUAACGAGGAACAAUUGGAGGGCAAGUCUGGUGCCAGCAGCCGCGGUAAUUCCAGCUCCAAUAGCGUAUAUUAAAGUUGUUGCAGUUAAAAAGCUCGUAGUUGAAUUUCGGGAUCAGUCUAUCGGUCGUGCCAUAGGAAGUACCGAUUUUAUUGGGUCCUCCCUUCCGGUGGACUAGGAAUGCAUUAAUUUUGUGUCAUAGGGGAAACUGGCUGGUUACUUUAAAAAAUUUUAUGGUUUUAAAGCAGGUCACGCUUGGAAUUAUUUACCAGGGAAAAAGGAAAAAGACCUUUCAAUCUUAUUUUGUUGUUUUCAAGAAUGGCUCUAUUAUUUAAAGGGAAUGUGGGGGCCAUAGAAUUCAAAUGG
Molecule: ribosomal RNA, 566 nt
Filed under: fungal sp.
Lineage: Eukaryota; Fungi
Description: SSU rRNA
Rfam family: Eukaryotic small subunit ribosomal RNA
Source: RNAcentral